AGAGUUUGAUCCUGGCUCAGGAUGAACGCUAGCUACAGGCUUAACACAUGCAAGUCGAGGGGAAACGGACAUCGAAAGCUUGCUUUUGAUGGGCGUCGACCGGCGCACGGGUGAGUAACGCGUAUCCAACCUGCCCACCACUUGGGGAUAACCUUGCGAAAGUAAGACUAAUACCCAAUGACGUCUCUAGAAGACAUCUGAAAGAGAUUAAAGAUUCAUCGGUGAUGGAUGGGGAUGCGUCUGAUUAGCUUGUUGGCGGGGUAACGGCCCACCAAGGCGACGAUCAGUAGGGGUUCGUGAGAGGAAGGUCCCCCACCAUUGGAACUGAGACACGGUCCAAACUCCUACCGGGAGGCA
This 357-nucleotide ribosomal RNA is filed under the name uncultured bacterium. Its description in RNAcentral is "bacterial SSU rRNA". It matches the Rfam family "Bacterial small subunit ribosomal RNA", at positions 8 to 350 of the family's 1533-position model. The record is from RNAcentral.